UUGAAGAUUGAAGCAAGUAUAAAUCCCAUCACCAUUCAAUAUGCAGCGAGCGGCAUUCAAGUCGAAGAUUUCCACCGGGUCGUUGGUCCCAAAACGCUCUAGGGCCAACCGGGAACCCGGAGUGCAUGGAGAAUCGAGUGGAAAACGCUCCGUCAUCAAGCCAAUUUCAAAGCCAAACCAGAUGCAGCAGUGGAACGAGAGAAUGAUUGAAGACGAGACGCCUCCGCCUCUGGUUCCCAGUGAAGUAAUUCUCGUUGAUGAUGACGAGGAUUUGUUCGACUGGGAACCAUUGGAUCCAACGGAGAUGGAGAUGGCGGUGUUCCAGAGAAUGAAGAUUGAGAGAGACCUUCGGAAGGCGCAAGCAGAGAAUAUCAAACUGCGGCAGGAAAAUCAACGACUGAAAGCAACAAAAGGGGUAGGUUUUAUCAAUCGUUUUCGUUUUGAAUCCUUACUAUUAAUGGUAGGCGAGGUAGCGGAAUCAAUUUUAUGUUAUGGUUUUUGGUUAUUGUUGUGAGUUGUUAUUGUAUUCUUUAUUUUUGUUCGUUUGUUGCAUUCUGUUUUAAUAUAUGUCUGUAUUAUGUUGCGGUUUUUUAUUCAGAUUUUUGUAUUGUGGUUUUAGAUUUUUCCUUUGUUGAUUUUGAUUGAUUCGUUGUAGUGAUUCUUUUUUUUUGUAGUUUCAGCUUUUAUUAUGUUUUUUUUACUUAGAGUUCUACAUUAUGGUUUCAAUUGAUUUAUUUUCUUUUUUGUUUUCAUUGUAGUGUUUUUUUAUUAUUUGUUCUGUUAUCAUUUUCUGUGUAUUGUUGAACUUUACAUUGUUAUUUAAUGUUGCGAUGUUUGAUAUCAUUUUUGUUAUAUAUUUCAUGGUAUAUUUACAAUAACCUGUUUGAUGAUAAUAAUUUUCUUGAUUCAUACUUUAUACUAUUUGAUUGUUUUGUUUUUCUGUUGAUAACUUUAUUAAUAUUUUUUUCUUGUGUUCUUUGCGUAUUUACGAGCUUCCAAGGCGAAUCUCCUGUCCAUAGUUUUGACCCACUGGAUUGCCUAUAUCACUGGAAAUAUGUCAUGAGACCACCAAAACAAAGUAAUUACUGCGGCAGAUCAUGCAAGCGAAUCCAUGAGAGCAGAAAGCAUUUCCGAAGAUUUUUUAAAACAUGUUAAUUUGAGU
This is a long non-coding RNA of Toxorhynchites rutilus septentrionalis, 1162 nucleotides long. RefSeq lists it as uncharacterized. The transcript is spliced from 3 exons. NCBI's taxonomy places the organism in Eukaryota, Metazoa, Arthropoda, Insecta, Diptera, Culicidae. The record is from RefSeq and is a predicted model, not a curated record.